UCCUCCUCUUACUUAUCCUCCUCUCCCAGCAUCCACCUGUCCUCCUCCUCCUCCCUCUCUCCUGGUCCCAGUUGUAGCAGGUGUGGUCUCCAUGGUUCUCCUGGUUCUGGUUCUGGGUGGAGUCCUGUUCCUCUGCAGUAAACUAAAAGGAACAACAAGUUCACAGCACUUCCUACUGUCUGACAAACACCAUCACGCUGUCAGCACGAACCAUCACAUGAGUUCGAUGUGCACCAUUACUCCUCCUGUGCUGAUGGUGCUCUGUGUGAUGCAGGAGGUCGGGGAGCAGAGCUGUGGAGCUGUGGAGGUGACGGCUGUCUGAGACGGAGCGUCUGCCUCUGCUUUUCAGGCCUGUUUCUGCUGACUGCUGCAGGUGUGUGUGUGCUGCU
Molecule: RNA transcript, 389 nt
Organism: Maylandia zebra (zebra mbuna)
Lineage: Eukaryota; Metazoa; Chordata; Actinopteri; Cichliformes; Cichlidae
Source: RefSeq, a predicted model, not a curated record